GAUGAAGAACGCAGUGAAAUGCGAUAAGUAAUGUGAAUUGCAGAAUUCAGUGAAUCAUCGAAUCUUUGAACGCACAUUGCGCCCCCUGGUAUUCCGGGGGGCAUGCCUGUCCGAGCGUCAUUACAACCCUCAAGCUCAGCUUGGUGUUGGGCCCCGCCGCCCCGGCGGGCCCUAAAGUCAGUGGCGGUGCCGUCCGGCUCCGAGCGUAGUAAUUCUUCUCGCUCUGGAGGUCCGGUCGUGUGCUCGCCAGCAACCCCCAAUUUUUUUCAGGUUGACCUCGGAUCAGGUAGGGAUACCCGCUGAACUUAAGCAUAUAAUAAGCGGAGGA
Molecule: unclassified non-coding RNA, 328 nt
Filed under: soil metagenome
Description: partial contains 5.8S ribosomal RNA, internal transcribed spacer 2, and large subunit ribosomal RNA
Rfam family: 5.8S ribosomal RNA (bases 1-120)
Source: RNAcentral